AGAGUUUGAUCAUGGCUCAGGACGAACGCUGGCGGCGUGCCUAAUACAUGCAAGUCGAGCGGACGAAUCGAAAGCUUGCUUUUGAUUCGUUAGCGGCGGACGGGUGAGUAACACGUGGGCAACCUGCCCUGUAGACGGGGAUAACACCGAGAAAUCGGUGCUAAUACCGGAUAACACGAAAUGUCGCAUGACGUUUCGUUGAAAGACGGCGCAAGCUGUCGCUACAGGAUGGGCCCGCGGCGCAUUAGCUAGUUGGUGAGGUAACGGCUCACCAAGGCGACGAUGCGUAGCCGACCUGAGAGGGUGAUCGGCCACACUGGGACUGAGACACGGCCCAGACUCCUACGGGAGGCAGCAGUAGGGAAUCUUCCGCAAUGGACGAAAGUCUGACGGAGCAACGCCGCGUGAGCGAAGAAGGCCUUCGGGUCGUAAAGCUCUGUUGUUAGGGAAGAACAAGUAACGCAGUAACUGGCGUUACCGUGACGGUACCUAACGAGAAAGCCACGGCUAAACUACGUGCCAGCAGCCGCGGGUAAUACGUAGGGUGGCAAGCGUUGUCCGGAAUUAUUGGGCGUAAAGCGCGCGCAGGGCGGUUCCUUAAGUCUGAUGUGAAAGCCCACGGGCUCAACCGUGGAGGGUCAUUGGAAAACUGGGGGGACUUGAGUGCAGAAGAGGAGAGCGGAAAUUCCACGUGUAGCGGUGAAAUGCGUAGAGAUGUGGAGGGACCACCAGUGGGCGAGGCGGCUCUCUGGGUCUGUAACUUGACGCUUAAGGCGCGAAAGCGUGGGGAG
RNAcentral lists this ribosomal RNA (791 nucleotides) under uncultured bacterium. RNAcentral's name for it is "bacterial SSU rRNA". It matches the Rfam family "Bacterial small subunit ribosomal RNA", at positions 8 to 768 of the family's 1533-position model. The record is from RNAcentral.